CCCGUAAUCCGGGUUGCGGACAGUGUCUGGUGGGUAGUUUGACUGGGGCGGUCUCCUCCUAAAGAGUAACGGAGGAGCACGAAGGUUGGCUAAUCCUGGUCGGACAUCAGGAGGUUAGUGCAAUGGCAUAAGCCAGCUUGACUGCGAGCGUGACGGCGCGAGCAGGUGCGAAAGCAGGUCAUAGUGAUCCGGUGGUUCUGAAUGGAAGGGCCAUCGCUCAACGGAUAAAAGGUACUCCGGGGAUAACAGGCUGAUACCGCCCAAGAGUUCAUAUCGACGGCGGUGUUUGGCACCUCGAUGUCGGCUCAUCACAUCCUGGGGCUGAAGUAGGUCCCAAGGGUAUGGCUGUUCGCCAUUUAAAGUGGUACGCGAGCUGGGUUUAGAACGUCGUGAGACAGUUCGGUCCCUAUCUGCCGUGGGCGCUGGAGAACUGAGGGGGGCUGCUCCUAGUACGAGAGGACCGGAGUGGACGCAUCACUGGUGUUCGGGUUGUCAUGCCAAUGGCACUGCCCGGUAGCUAAAUGCGGAAGAGAUAAGUGCUGAAAGCAUCUAAGCACGAAACUUGCCCCGAGAUGAGUUCUCCCUGAGACUUAGAGUCUCCUGAAGGAACGUUGAAGACGACGACGUUGAUAGGCCGGGUGUGUAAGCGCAGCGAUGCGUUGAGCUAACCGGUACUAAUGAACCGUGAGGCUUAACCUUAC
Molecule: ribosomal RNA, 701 nt
Filed under: Salmonella enterica subsp. enterica serovar Thompson
Lineage: Bacteria; Pseudomonadati; Pseudomonadota; Gammaproteobacteria; Enterobacterales; Enterobacteriaceae
Also listed under: 1 other name
Description: partial 23S ribosomal RNA
Rfam family: Bacterial large subunit ribosomal RNA
Source: RNAcentral